This 293-nucleotide ribosomal RNA is filed under the name uncultured bacterium. RNAcentral's name for it is "partial 16S ribosomal RNA". It matches the Rfam family "Bacterial small subunit ribosomal RNA", at positions 775 to 1067 of the family's 1533-position model. The record is from RNAcentral.
GGAUUAGAUACCCUGGUAGUCCACGCCGUAAACGAUGUCUACUAGCCGUUGGGGUACUUGAUACCUUAGUGGCGCAGCUAACGCACUAAGUAGACCGCCUGGGGAGUACGGCCGCAAGGUUAAAACUCAAAUGAAUUGACGGGGGCCCGCACAAGCGGUGGAGCAUGUGGUUUAAUUCGAAGCAACGCGAAGAACCUUACCUACUCUUGAAAUCCUGCGAACUUGGUAGAGAUACCUUGGUGCCUUCGGGAACGCAGUGACAGGUGCUGCAUGGCUGUCGUCAGCUCGUGCUG